AUUGAACGCUGGCGGCAGGCCUAACACAUGCAAGUCGAGCGGAUGAAGGGAGCUUGCUCCUGGAUUCAGCGGCGGACGGGUGAGUAAUGCCUAGGAAUCUGCCUGGUAGUGGGGGAUAACGUCCGGAAACGGGCGCUAAUACCGCAUACGUCCUGAGGGAGAAAGUGGGGGAUCUUCGGACCUCACGCUAUCAGAUGAGCCUAGGUCGGAUUAGCUAGUUGGUGGGGUAAAGGCCUACCAAGGCGACGAUCCGUAACUGGUCUGAGAGGAUGAUCAGUCCCACUGGAACUGAGACACGGUCCAGACUCCUACGGGAGGCAGCAGUGGGGAAUAUUGGACAAUGGGCGAAGGCCUGAUCCAGCCAUGCCGCGUGUGUGAAGAAGGUCUUCGGAUUGUAAAGCACUUUAAGUUGGGAGGAAGGGCAGUAAGUUAAUACCUUGCUGUUUUGACGUUACCAACAGAAUAAGCACCGGCUAACUUCGUG
Molecule: ribosomal RNA, 484 nt
Filed under: uncultured bacterium
Lineage: Bacteria
Description: partial 16S ribosomal RNA
Rfam family: Bacterial small subunit ribosomal RNA
Source: RNAcentral